GACGAACGCUGGCGGCGUGCUUAACACAUGCAAGUCGAACGGAAAGGCUCCAGCUUGCUGGAGUGCUCGAGUGGCGAACGGGUGAGUAACACGUGGGCAAUCUGCCCUGCACUCUGGGAUAAGCCUGGGAAACUGGGUCUAAUACCGGAUAGGACCUUUCUCCUCAUGGGGUUUGGUGGAAAGUUUUGCGGUGCAGGAUGAGCCCGCGGCCUAUCAGCUUGUUGGUGGGGUAAUGGCCUACCAAGGCGACGACGGGUAGCCGGCCUGAGAGGGUGAUCGGCCACAUUGGGACUGAGAUACGGCCCAGACUCCUACGGGAGGCAGCAGUGGGGAAUAUUGCACAAUGGGCGAAAGCCUGAUGCAGCGACGCCGCGUUAGGGAUGACGGCCUUCGGGUUGUAAACCUCUUUCAGUAGGGACGAAGCGCAAGUGACGGUACCUGCAGAAGAAGCACCGGCUAACUACGUG
Molecule: ribosomal RNA, 467 nt
Filed under: uncultured bacterium
Lineage: Bacteria
Description: partial 16S ribosomal RNA
Rfam family: Bacterial small subunit ribosomal RNA
Source: RNAcentral